CGUAUGGAGCGAGCGUUGUCCGGAAUUAUUGGGCGUAAAGGGUGCGCAGGCGGCUUUACAAGUUGGAUGUGAAAUAUUGUGGCUCAACCACAAACGUGCAUCCAAACUGCAAAGCUUGAGUUAAGGAGAGGUAAGUGGAAUUCCUGGUGUAGCGGUGGAAUGCGUAGAUAUCAGGAGGAAUACCGGUGGCGAAGGCGACUUACUGGACUUAAACUGACGCUCAGGCACGAAAGCGUGGGGAGCAAACAGGAUU
RNAcentral lists this ribosomal RNA (253 nucleotides) under uncultured bacterium. RNAcentral's name for it is "partial 16S ribosomal RNA". It matches the Rfam family "Bacterial small subunit ribosomal RNA", at positions 526 to 779 of the family's 1533-position model. The record is from RNAcentral.